This 2760-nucleotide ribosomal RNA is filed under the name Escherichia coli. RNAcentral's name for it is "partial 23S ribosomal RNA". It matches the Rfam family "Bacterial large subunit ribosomal RNA". Lineage: Bacteria; Pseudomonadati; Pseudomonadota; Gammaproteobacteria; Enterobacterales; Enterobacteriaceae. The record is from RNAcentral.
CAUAGGUUAAUGAGGCGAACCGGGGGAACUGAAACAUCUAAGUACCCCGAGGAAAAGAAAUCAACCGAGAUUCCCCCAGUAGCGGCGAGCGAACGGGGAGGAGCCCAGAGCCUGAAUCAGUGUGUGUGUUAGUGGAAGCGUCUGGAAAGGCGCGCGAUACAGGGUGACAGCCCCGUACACAAAAAUGCACAUGCUGUGAGCUCGAUGAGUAGGGCGGGACACGUGGUAUCCUGUCUGAAUAUGGGGGGACCAUCCUCCAAGGCUAAAUACUCCUGACUGACCGAUAGUGAACCAGUACCGUGAGGGAAAGGCGAAAAGAACCCCGGCGAGGGGAGUGAAAAAGAACCUGAAACCGUGUACGUACAAGCAGUGGGAGCACAGAGCAAUCUGUGUGACUGCGUACCUUUUGUAUAAUGGGUCAGCGACUUAUAUUCUGUAGCAAGGUUAACCGAAUAGGGGAGCCGAAGGGAAACCGAGUCUUAACCGGGCGUUAAGUUGCAGGGUAUAGACCCGAAACCCGGUGAUCUAGCCAUGGGCAGGUUGAAGGUUGGGUAACACUAACUGGAGGACCGAACCGACUAAUGUUGAAAAAUUAGCGGAUGACUUGUGGCUGGGGGUGAAAGGCCAAUCAAACCGGGAGAUAGCUGGUUCUCCCCGAAAGCUAUUUAGGUAGCGCCUCGUGAAUUCAUCUCCGGGGGUAGAGCACUGUUUCGGCAAGGGGGUCAUCCCGACUUACCAACCCGAUGCAAACUGCGAAUACCGGAGAAUGUUAUCACGGGAGACACACGGCGGGUGCUAACGUCCGUCGUGAAGAGGGAAACAACCCAGACCGCCAGCUAAGGUCCCAAAGUCAUGGUUAAGUGGGAAACGAUGUGGGAAGGCCCAGACAGCCAGGAUGUUGGCUUAGAAGCAGCCAUCAUUUAAAGAAAGCGUAAUAGCUCACUGGUCGAGUCGGCCUGCGCGGAAGAUGUAACGGGGCUAAACCAUGCACCGAAGCUGCGGCAGCGACACUGUGUGUUGUUGGGUAGGGGAGCGUUCUGUAAGCCUGUGAAGGUGUGCUGUGAGGCAUGCUGGAGGUAUCAGAAGUGCGAAUGCUGACAUAAGUAACGAUAAAGCGGGUGAAAAGCCCGCUCGCCGGAAGACCAAGGGUUCCUGUCCAACGUUAAUCGGGGCAGGGUGAGUCGACCCCUAAGGCGAGGCCGAAAGGCGUAGUCGAUGGGAAACAGGUUAAUAUUCCUGUACUUGGUGUUACUGCGAAGGGGGGACGGAGAAGGCUAUGUUGGCCGGGCGACGGUUGUCCCGGUUUAAGCGUGUAGGCUGGUUUUCCAGGCAAAUCCGGAAAAUCAAGGCUGAGGCGUGAUGACGAGGCACUACGGUGCUGAAGCAACAAAUGCCCUGCUUCCAGGAAAAGCCUCUAAGCAUCAGGUAACAUCAAAUCGUACCCCAAACCGACACAGGUGGUCAGGUAGAGAAUACCAAGGCGCUUGAGAGAACUCGGGUGAAGGAACUAGGCAAAAUGGUGCCGUAACUUCGGGAGAAGGCACGCUGAUAUGUAGGUGAAGUCCCUCGCGGAUGGAGCUGAAAUCAGUCGAAGAUACCAGCUGGCUGCAACUGUUUAUUAAAAACACAGCACUGUGCAAACACGAAAGUGGACGUAUACGGUGUGACGCCUGCCCGGUGCCGGAAGGUUAAUUGAUGGGGUCAGCGCAAGCGAAGCUCUUGAUCGAAGCCCCGGUAAACGGCGGCCGUAACUAUAACGGUCCUAAGGUAGCGAAAUUCCUUGUCGGGUAAGUUCCGACCUGCACGAAUGGCGUAAUGAUGGCCAGGCUGUCUCCACCCGAGACUCAGUGAAAUUGAACUCGCUGUGAAGAUGCAGUGUACCCGCGGCAAGACGGAAAGACCCCGUGAACCUUUACUAUAGCUUGACACUGAACAUUGAGCCUUGAUGUGUAGGAUAGGUGGGAGGCUUUGAAGUGUGGACGCCAGUCUGCAUGGAGCCGACCUUGAAAUACCACCCUUUAAUGUUUGAUGUUCUAACGUGGACCCGUGAUCCGGGUUGCGGACAGUGUCUGGUGGGUAGUUUGACUGGGGCGGUCUCCUCCUAAAGAGUAACGGAGGAGCACGAAGGUUGGCUAAUCCUGGUCGGACAUCAGGAGGUUAGUGCAAUGGCAUAAGCCAGCUUGACUGCGAGCGUGACGGCGCGAGCAGGUGCGAAAGCAGGUCAUAGUGAUCCGGUGGUUCUGAAUGGAAGGGCCAUCGCUCAACGGAUAAAAGGUACUCCGGGGAUAACAGGCUGAUACCGCCCAAGAGUUCAUAUCGACGGCGGUGUUUGGCACCUCGAUGUCGGCUCAUCACAUCCUGGGGCUGAAGUAGGUCCCAAGGGUAUGGCUGUUCGCCAUUUAAAGUGGUACGCGAGCUGGGUUUAGAACGUCGUGAGACAGUUCGGUCCCUAUCUGCCGUGGGCGCUGGAGAACUGAGGGGGGCUGCUCCUAGUACGAGAGGACCGGAGUGGACGCAUCACUGGUGUUCGGGUUGUCAUGCCAAUGGCACUGCCCGGUAGCUAAAUGCGGAAGAGAUAAGUGCUGAAAGCAUCUAAGCACGAAACUUGCCCCGAGAUGAGUUCUCCCUGACCCUUUAAGGGUCCUGAAGGAACGUUGAAGACGACGACGUUGAUAGGCCGGGUGUGUAAGCGCAGCGAUGCGUUGAGCUAACCGGUACUAAUGAACCGUGAGGCUUAACCUUACAACGCCGAAGGUGUUU